GACGAACCGUGCAAACGUUGUUCGGAUUCAUUGGGCGUAAAGGGUGCGUAGGCGGUCGCGCAAGUCGGAUGUGAAAUCUCAGGGCUCAACCCUGAAACUGCAUUCGAUACUGCGUGGCUAGAGUGCUGGAGAGGAGACUGGAAUUUACGGUGUAGCAGUGAAAUGCGUAGAGAUCGUAAGGAAGACCAGUGGCGAAGGCGAGUUUCUGGACAGUUACUGACGCUGAGGCACGAAGGCCAGGGGAGCAAACGGG
This 253-nucleotide ribosomal RNA is filed under the name uncultured bacterium. RNAcentral's name for it is "partial 16S ribosomal RNA". It matches the Rfam family "Bacterial small subunit ribosomal RNA", at positions 524 to 776 of the family's 1533-position model. The record is from RNAcentral.